GCCUGCCUACACAGCUCUUUGGGACUCCAGGCACGGAGCUCCCCAGAUCCCCGUGGGCGGAAGCAGUGACAGGCGUAGGCUGCUGUUAGCACGGAGAACCGCUCCAGGCUAUACACAGAGCCACACCACCGCCACCUACACAGCUGGUGCUGGCUGCCCAGGACCCCUGCACUCACCUGUCGGUGGCCACAGAGUAUAGAGGGAGAGAGAGGAUGGGGGGCAAGAGCAGACACUGUGAAAUGGGGGACACAGGUCAGGAGGAAGGGACCCCAUUUUGAGGAUUCACAGGAGCCACCCGCAUGUCCCCGAGUGAGGUCAUAGGCAUCGUCCGCAGUUCUGCUGGUCCAUUGCUGAGGAAGCCAAGGAAGGCAGAGUGAGGAGGGAGGGCAUCAGGACAAGUUCAAGGACAGUCUAAAGCAGACAGUGUGGAGGAAGCUGAGGUCUCUGUGACCGGGAUCCAUGAUGGUGAGAAGGAGUGACUGAAAAGGCUCACAUGCUGCUCUUGCGGACCCGGGCUCAGGUCCAGGGCAGGCAACCAGUCCGACAUCCCAGCUGUGCCCUGGGGCUCGCUCUAAACGUUGAUGGCCUUGCCAUUCAGUGUGUGAGGGGCAGCCACAGCCAACCCUUGCUAACACCUCCUCCGUGGCAGUCCACAGAGCGCCAUCCACAUGCACGGCGCCUCCACUGACCUGUAUGUCAGCCCAGCAGCAGCCACAGGAGCUGACACCAUCAUGGUCGUAUUGACAGUCCUCAACAUCUACGGAAGGCAGCGGCCCCAUACCUGCACCUCUGCUCUGCUGUGAGUUCUGCCUGCCACAGCCCUGCCUGACUCACUAAAGCCACCUUGUCCCCGCACAGGGUGAGGCAGACUUGACAUCAGAGAAAGACCACGACCUUGGGAUGCGACUAGAGUCUGGCCGAACUGGAUGUACAGGAUGGGCCCAAGGGGCAUCCUGGAGCCCCUGUGAUGGGCCCAGCUCAGUACCAAAUCCGAGGCAAGAUCAGCUCUCUCUGCCUCAGUUUUCCUGCCCUACUGUGAGAAGACUGAGCAAUCCAUGAUCCCCAAUGGGUAGGUAUAGCCAGGGCUGGUGAAGCAUACAGGGAGAACAGGAAAGGAGGAUGGGCCGGGGCGCUCUAUCCCACGCCCCAUGUGGGGUCUUUUGCCUGUUUCCCUGGGUACAGAAACACAGAACCAUGCCCCAGAUUGCUUGUGUUUGGAAAGCCUGUCAAUCACAGCGGCAACUUAUUAAAAGGAA
Molecule: long non-coding RNA, 1256 nt
Organism: Peromyscus maniculatus bairdii (prairie deer mouse)
Lineage: Eukaryota; Metazoa; Chordata; Mammalia; Rodentia; Cricetidae
Source: RefSeq, a predicted model, not a curated record